RNAcentral lists this long non-coding RNA (526 nucleotides) under Homo sapiens (human). RNAcentral describes it as "HSALNT0376581". The record is from RNAcentral. Lineage: Eukaryota; Metazoa; Chordata; Mammalia; Primates; Hominidae.
AAUGGAAUGUGGUAGAAUGGAAGCUGCAUCACUGGUCAGGAAAGGUGACAUGACUUUUUUUGGUGCUGUUUUUCUUGAUACAGUUUCCCUUGGAAUCCAGUCACCAUGCUGUGAGGAAAUCAAAGCCAAAGGGAAGUUUCACAUGAAGAGCAAUCAAGUCGUUUAGCCCUCAGCCUGAUGACCACCCUACUGACUGCUGCCCGUGAUAUAAUUCUUCCUGGAACUUGAAUGGGAACCUCGUUGUGAAUAAAAAGAGUUAGAGAGAUUAUAUUGCCACCAUGGAAGAGGAGGAGCUGGAAGGAGAUUCUGAAGCCUUGGGACAAAGCUGGUGCUGCGGCAGUCAGAGCAGAGAGACAGAAUGAUGCCACUGAUUGCUGUGCUUUUGGAGACUGUUCUACUUCUGAAUUUCCAAUUCAGUGAAAUAAUGCCUGUCCUCAUUUAUUAGCCUUUUAGAGUUGGGUUUUCUGGUUUGCUUUGUUUAAAGUAUUCAAAAUGGCACAUACUUCUACUUAGCUUUAAUGUUUCU